UUACCUACCCUUGACAUCGAGAGAACUUUCCAGAGAUGGAUUGGUGCCUUCGGGAACUCUCAGACAGGUGCUGCAUGGCUGUCGUCAGCUCGUGUUGUGAAAUGUUGGGUUAAGUCCCGUAACGAGCGCAACCCUUAUCCUUAGUUGCUACCAUUUAGUUGGGCACUCUAAGGAGACUGCCGGUGAUAAACCGGAGGAAGGUGGGGACGACGUCAAGUCAUCAUGGCCCUUACGGCCAGGGCUACACACGUGCUACAAUGGCCGGUACAGAGGGCCGCAAACUCGCGAGAGUAAGCUAAUCCCUUAAAGCCGGUCCUAGUCCGGAUUGCAGUCUGCAACUCGACUGCAUGAAGCUGGAAUCGCUAGUAAUCGCGGAUCAGAAUGCCGCGGUGAAUUCGUUCCCGGGUCUUGUACACACCG
This 420-nucleotide ribosomal RNA is filed under the name uncultured bacterium. RNAcentral's name for it is "bacterial SSU rRNA". It matches the Rfam family "Bacterial small subunit ribosomal RNA", at positions 971 to 1392 of the family's 1533-position model. The record is from RNAcentral.